GGCGCCAUCGUCUAGAGGCCUAGGACGGGUGGUUCUCAGCCAUCAAACUGGGGUUCGAAUCCCCAUGGCGCUGCCA
This 76-nucleotide transfer RNA is filed under the name Candidatus Aminicenantes bacterium ADurb.Bin508. RNAcentral's name for it is "tRNA-Glu". It matches the Rfam family "tRNA". Rfam says of the family: Transfer RNA (tRNA) molecules are approximately 80 nucleotides in length. Their secondary structure includes four short double-helical elements and three loops (D, anti-codon, and T loops). RNAcentral also lists the same sequence under 1 other name. Lineage: Bacteria; Candidatus Aminicenantota. The record is from RNAcentral.